CCUACGGGUGGCAGCAGUGAGGAAUAUUGGUCAAUGGACGAGAGCCUGAACCAGCCAAGUAGCGUGAAGGAUGACUGCCCUAUGGGUUGUAAACUUCUUUUAUAUGGGAGUAAAAUGUUCCACGUGUGGGAUUUUGUAGGUCCCAUAUAAAUAAGGAUCGGCUACAUCCGUGCCAGCAGCCUCGGUAAUACGGAGGAUCCGAGCAUUAACCGGUUUUAUUGGGGUUAAAGGGAGCGGAGUUGGGUUGUUAAGUCAGGUGGGAAAGUUUGGGGGCCAACCGUAAUAUAGCAGUUGAAACUGGCAGUCUUGAGUACGGUAGAGGUAGGCGGAAUGCGUGGUGUAGCGGUGAAAUGCUUAGAUAUCACGAAGAACCCCGAUUGCGAAGGCAGCUCACUGG
Molecule: ribosomal RNA, 397 nt
Filed under: uncultured bacterium
Lineage: Bacteria
Description: partial 16S ribosomal RNA
Rfam family: Bacterial small subunit ribosomal RNA
Source: RNAcentral